This is a non-coding RNA of Lonchura striata (white-rumped munia), 358 nucleotides long. Lineage: Eukaryota; Metazoa; Chordata; Aves; Passeriformes; Estrildidae. The record is from RefSeq and is a predicted model, not a curated record.
GCAGGAAUUUGUUCCUCUGUAAGAUGUCGCCCCCCUCUAAGAACUAUUGGAAGAUGCACAGACACAGAGGUGUGCUGCAGAAGUUUCUGGAGAUGAGAUCCUAAAAUUCCUCGGCAGGACAUGCCCCUUGCUUCUGGCUGCUGGACCCAUCUGCUGAUGUCCCCAUCUGCUGAUGUCCCCAUCUGCUGAUGUCCCCUCCCGUCGCUGCCGGUGCCGUGCCCAGCUGGGCUGACAGCAGCAGUGGCAGCUGCUCCUGCUGGCUGCUGCUGGGCUGGAGCCCUGUGGUGCCAGCCCCGCUGUCUUUGGGGCAGGGGCUGCUUUUCCUGGCUUGAAUAAAGACGAGCACUUGGGCAUUGCA